Molecule: unclassified non-coding RNA, 351 nt
Filed under: soil metagenome
Description: partial contains 5.8S ribosomal RNA, internal transcribed spacer 2, and large subunit ribosomal RNA
Rfam family: 5.8S ribosomal RNA (bases 1-120)
Source: RNAcentral
GAUGAAGAACGUAGCGAAACGCGAUAUGUAAUGUGAAUUGCAGAAUUCAGUGAAUCAUCGAAUCUUUGAACGCACAUGGCGCCUUCAAGUAUCCUGGGAGGCAUGCCUGUCCGAGCGUCGUUUCAACCCUCGAGCCCCCGUGGCCCGGCGUUGGGGAUCUGCCACGGCAGGCCCCUAAAACCAGUGGCGGACCCGAAGGCCCUCUCCUUUGCGCAGUAGCAUCAGCCUCGCAUUGGGAUCCCUCGGCGUCCUGCCUCUAAACCCCCCACAAGUCCGCUCCGGCGGCACCAAGGUUGACCUCGGAUCAGGUAGGAAUACCCGCUGAACUUAAGCAUAUCAAUAAGCGGAGGA